Molecule: long non-coding RNA, 271 nt
Filed under: Hordeum vulgare
Lineage: Eukaryota; Viridiplantae; Streptophyta; Magnoliopsida; Poales; Poaceae
Description: long non-coding RNA (HVUL_LNC012998)
Source: RNAcentral
CCCCUGUGGCCCUCCUUCGGUGAUCCCCAAGCUUCUAUUUCGCUGAUUUUUUAUAUAUUUUUCCUGGAUUUUUUCAGGCUUCGGAAAAUUGGGUAAAACCCCUGCAAAAUAGAUAUCAGCAGACAGAAACUAGCACUGGGUGCACUGAGUUAUUAGGUUAGUCCAAAUAUAUGUAAAAUUAUAUAAAAGUGUAGCAAAACAUAUAACAUUGUCACCCAAAAGAUCAUGGAAAAAGCUGUAAUUAUAGAUACGUUUGGGAUGUAUCAAUCCC